RNAcentral lists this unclassified non-coding RNA (401 nucleotides) under Tetrataenium pinnatum. RNAcentral's name for it is "partial external transcribed spacer". The record is from RNAcentral. Lineage: Eukaryota; Viridiplantae; Streptophyta; Magnoliopsida; Apiales; Apiaceae.
CGCAUGAGCAAGAGGACGAUUACUAUCCUCCCGUCAACACAGGGCACAACAAGCUUCCACAAGGGACAAUUGAUUCGGGCAAAAAGGGACAAAGUCCCUGACCGAUCAUUGCUUUCUACAUACAAGACUUCGGGCAACACUUGGGCAUCCAAUGCCUACAAGCUAAAUAAGCAAAGCAACGGUGGACAUCCAUAGGUGCUUCAGGGCCUAAGUCGCACAAAACAUUCUAGCACGAGUUAGAGCAGGAAUCGUGNGACUGGUGAAUUCCGUCAAAAUAGGUAUGCUACACAGGGGGCCAAAAGCCAAUCCAAGGUAAAAGAUUUACACUCGAACAGAAUUGAACAGGUGUGAACCAACGAUUGUCGCUGCCAGGGCAGGGAACCAACCAACCGGAACAUACC